UGACAUGAAUGCAGUCCCUGCUACCAAAGUUCAUGCAGUCUGGUUCCCCACGUAGUGGUAAAUCAGAGGUGUGGUGUGUUUGAGGUGCAAGAAGUGGAUGGAAAAAAGGCAACAAGCUCUAACAACACUGUGAUGUGUUUCCCUUGCCAGCCAGCCCUGGAAGAAGGGGAAAGUGCUCAGUGAUGUCCUUCAAACACCAUGCCUGCACCUAGAUGGGCUUUGGCUGCUGCACUGACAGCACAAGCACAGCAGGAAGCAAGUGGAAAUGGGCCCUCAGGGCUCUUGGACCAGGAGAACUUUUCUGAGCUAUUGCUGCUGCACGGCCCAGCCUAUGGGAAGUAUUGACCACAGAGACCCUGUCAGAUCCACCAGAGGCAACAAACUGCUGUAUAUCUGAAACAAGAAACUGCGCACCUUCACCAGGAUGCCUUUUGCCUUGAGAGCUGGAAAGAAAGGUUGUGAACGUUAAGAGCAUCUAAGAAAUACCGUGUGUCGCUUUUCCAUAGCAAAGGUAAGAGAUCUAGGCAAAUACUGCUGGUACCUGCAGUUUGGGGGGAGACUAUAUUAGUGGUUAGCAGCUAAGUCUUUCCUCACUGGUGAGGUGUUGCACAGCCCUCAGCAGACAGUGAUUAGAAACACACUCGAAAGCGCCAGUUGUUCCCCCUGCACCCAGAGCAACGUGAGAGUCCACUGUGUUCCUUAAUAACCCGGCACAGAUGGUGCAUUGCAUGCUUUGGAGGACUCUGACCGCUUCUCUGCUUAGUGCAAAACCUGCUGCUGCUUCUCAGUGAUAGAAAAACAAGAAAAUGUCCUGUUUGGGCUAGAUUGGAGUCUGUAAUCCUGGUGCCAUCAGUCAGAUUGAAAGGCCAGUUCCUUAAAAAGGAAAAAGCUCAGUUGUUACACCAUGAAUAUAUACACAUGGAUAAAGCAGAGAAGGCUUUGACGUUCACAGCCCUUUGUGCAACAUUCCUGUCAUAUCACAAACACAUCAGCCUAAAUGCUUUGCUAAUUGUGUUACGCUCCAAAGCAGUCAGGGCCUGAUGCUGCCCAUGAAGACCAACAGCACACAGCUGCCACGUGCUUUGCAAAACUUGACCUCAGCUGUGCAGCUUGAUGCGGGUACAUGGUUUAACAUUGUAUACCUUCAGAACAGGGAGAAUCCAUGCAGACUUUCAUUUUAAGGUAAUUUCCCUACUGAGCACCAUUCUGAGGAUCAAAUCUGUAUUUUGACAUAUCUGUAGUAAAAACUUUGGUGCAGAGUUGUAACUGUAGGCAUGUGCAUGAAUCUCUGAAUCAAGGAGCCCAUGUGCCCCUGAUCAGUUUGGGAUGUUACCCAGAAAUAAAGCCCAACAGCAGCCCUUAAGACAAACAAACUUUAAACUGUAUUUCUUUGUUUAUAUCAUUAGGUAUGAUGCAGCCAAAGUUCAUAGUCACAAGGUUGAACAUCACCUAGCUGGAAAAAGCUAAAACAAAUGAACGGUGUUACUAAAUUAAACGUAUGUUGGCUAACAGCUAUGGGCUGCAGUGGCAUUCAGAGCCAUGGAGUGUGCGAUUCUCUGGCUGCCACCAAGACAGGGGCAUGUAGGUGGUUUGUGGCUGCUGAGAUAGCUUUGGUAGUGCUCUUGCUCCCGACAUGCAUGAUGGGCUAUUGGGUUUCUUCUCCACUGCUCCCUUUUUUGGGACAUUGCACAUAUUGGGCAAUGCAUAUGGUCUCCCUGACCCUUCCACCUCUUUUUCUUUCCUCAGCUUACACUCAAAAACUGAGAGAGGGUUGCAGAGUUCUGGUACACAACACUUUGCCAUUGGUAUAGAAAAAUGGUGUUUUGCAAAGAUGGCGGUGUGGGUAGAAGGGAUGUUCUUCAAAGACAGGUUUUACAUAUGAAAUUGCAUGUUGGGUCUGCUCUCUCCAGCAGCAUGCAUAAAGACUGGAUGUUGUGUUGAGGGACAUGGUUUAGUGGGAGCUAUUGGUAACAGGUGAACGGUUGGACUGGAUGAUCUUUUAGGUCUUUUCCAACCUCGGUGAUUCUAUGAUUCUAUGCUUUGGGAACAGCACUGUGCCACACCACCUGUGUGACUUAGGUGAUAUGCUACAAGAGAAACUGCUUCAUUUGGACAAGGAAACGCCAGCAUGGCACCCGUGGCAUCUUCACUGCAAGCAGAAAUGUAAGCAAGAGCAAAAAGCAUGGUUUGGGGUAUUGCUGAAGCAGUAGGCAAAUAUGCAGCUGUGAUGUUGAGAUCAGGGUGCCCCUGCUCCUGAACCCACUCACAGUCUGGACUGGCAGAAACCUUUGUGCUUGCAGCUUUGCGUCAUACCCUCUCUCUCUCUCCCUCUCUCUCCCAGACCAAUGCCGUGUGGCUUUUGCAUUAUUUUAUUCCCUUGUCUGCCUGUUUUUCUCGUAUGUGCGGGCUGAAGAUUUGGUCACGCUGUGUGCCUGCAGACUCACCCACAGGACAGACAGGAAAGAGCAGGAAGGCAGUGUUGUUCCUGGAAAUGUAGCUCUUGGGCUGCAGUACGCAUAGGAACUUGAUGUGUGUGCUGACGUUUCUGCAUAUGACAGCAGGCAUCGCUACCAGGUCUGGAUGCCACAGUGUCAUGGCCCGUUCUCUUGGUUAUCACCACACUUGUGUGCUACCUAGAAAUACAUUGCUCAGCUGCCUUACCUGUGAAAUGCCAGCGGGCUGCUGGGGAGUGCUCUGCUUUGCAGGGGGAGAGCACUGGGCUCCUUCUCCCUGGGCAUGCUUUCUCCUUUCACACCGAGUGAAAGCCACGGCAGGAACCUGCUCAUCUCCUCGUUCUGCCUUCUGCAGAGGGCAGCACAUGGCCGGGGCUCCCUCCCCUUGGGCCCACCCUGUGUGCUACCUCCACGUGCUCUGAAACGCUUCUUACGGCGCUGGCAGCGUGUCUGUGAGGUCUGCUGGCACAAUCAGGCUGGCUUUAAGUUGGGCUUGGAGCUGAGCAAAGCUCAGGAACAGAAAGCAUUUUAAAACCAUGUUUCACAGAAGAUUUGAUCUGAGCUCCAUUUGCAACAGUUGCAAAGCAGCAUUUUGUCAGUAUUGAACCUCCAGCUGCUCAGUAAUCAUUUCACUCAGCUCCGAUGGAGGACACAGAGCAAGGGGGAGGUGGGAUAUUUCCCAAACAUUCCUCUUUUUGGUUACACACCAAUGUUGUGGUGUUUUGCUGACAUGCUGGAGCCCCAGCCCAGCGAUUCAGGCUCAGCCUUUGGGAGAAGAGUGAGACCGCUCUGAGGAAAAUGAUUUAAAAUGCCUUCAGAUGCCUUUUCACUUGUUUUUAUUUAAUUCCAUAAAUAUUUUCAUAAGGCUCAGUGUCUUUACAACACUUUUUUAAACACUUUGUUUGUUUUGUUUUAUACACACAACUUUGACACUUGUUUGACAGGGUCAAACAGUCCAAUAUAAACAAAAUAAUAAAACUGGCAAGUGCGGAUCAGCUGGGUUACCAAAAUCCUUUUUUUUUUCUUUUUUUUUCUUUUUUUUUUUUUUUCUCUUACUGUUAAAACCCCAAAAGCACUAAAAUAUCAGUAUUUGGCUUCAAACUAGAAUUUUAAAAACUUUUUUUUUUUUUUAAAUUCUCUGCUACAAGUCCCUGUCAUCAUAGUGCCUUUAGACUCCUACAGACUCUUCUUUUCUUCUCAAGGAAAAAUAAGCUCAGUGAUGCCAUGCAGAACUUACAAUAGCUACUAAAUAUACAUGUUCCCUGAAAUGUAGCUGCGAUGAAAAGAUGACAGAGCAUAAAGAGAACAAAACCAGAAACCCAAAGCACCACAGUGUACUAUCAAUAACAUUGCAAUGGAUGGCCAGUGACCACCCAGAAACUGAAACAGAUUUCAAAUAUAUUUCUCUAUGUAUUAUUUUCUAUUUACAACUGUUAGAUGCACCUAGGUUGAUCCUUGUUUGAUUGUUUUGAGAGGGUAGGGAGGCGAAAGUCUUGAAUUUAGAUCCUCUGUUCUAGUGACUAGGUCAAGGGGUAAUGCAUGUCAUUUACCUAGGGAAGAGGGUAUUUUUGUUGGUGUUUUUUUUAUAUAUAUAUAUAUAUAUAUAUAUAGUUUCAGCCAGAGAAAUACCGUAAACAUGUAAGUUUGUUACAACUUUCUCAUUUCUGCAUAUGGAAUGGUAAGUGGGUUCCUCCUGUCUGGCAUUGAAAUGAAAGUCUCUAUCAGAUGCUCAGUCAAAAUCACCCCGAUCUGACAGCAUCUGUGCUGCUUCCAGCACUUUCAGACACAACGAGGCAGCCCAGCCCUGCUCCCUAUAGGGAAAGCCACAGUAGGUAGUAAAAGUGGGACCCAGUGCUGGUUCUUCUUUGCGAUAAUGCUCCAUCUCUUGCAGCACCUUGGCCAUUUGUGGAAGGGAAGGGAAGGGCUUUCUUGAGCGCCAUGUGAGAGCCAAGCCCCUCUUCCCUCUGGAACAAGCGGCUGCGGCUGCUCCGCCUGCCACCCGGCUUCGGCAAGCGCUAGCGGCGCUCGUUACUUUUGGCUUUCCACUUAAGAAGGAAGCUGCGAGUCCAACAAGUGGCCUUGUCAGAUCGAGCGAGUCUUGAGUUAUGAUGCAAAUAAUGGUGUGGCGGUGGAGUUUCUUUUUUCCUAGCGCUGAAUAUUUAGGAAGCAUCUUCUCAUAAAAAUUAUGGAUGUCUCAUUCUCACUCUCUGAGGCACAAAACAGUAAAUGAAUAGGCUUAACUAAUGUGCUUGUUACUUUUUUUUUUUUCCCC
This is a long non-coding RNA of Lagopus muta (rock ptarmigan), 4725 nucleotides long. RefSeq lists it as uncharacterized. The transcript has 2 exons. The record is from RefSeq and is a predicted model, not a curated record. NCBI's taxonomy places the organism in Eukaryota, Metazoa, Chordata, Aves, Galliformes, Phasianidae.